AUACGUAGGGGGCUAGCGUUAUCCGGAUUUACUGGGCGUAAAGGGUGCGUAGGUGGUUUCUUAAGUCAGAUGUAAAAGGCACAGGCUCAACUUGUGUUAGCAUUUGAAACUGUGCGACUUGAGUGCAGGAGAGGUAAGUGGAAUUCCUAGUGUAGCGGUGAAAUGCGUAGAUAUUAGGAGGAACACCAGUGGCGAAGGCGACUUACUGGACUGUAACUGACGCUGAGUCACGAAAGCGUGGGUAGC
Molecule: ribosomal RNA, 246 nt
Filed under: uncultured bacterium
Lineage: Bacteria
Description: partial 16S ribosomal RNA
Rfam family: Bacterial small subunit ribosomal RNA
Source: RNAcentral